UGGACCGCGACGCGGCGCUACUGGCCGCC
Molecule: small RNA, 29 nt
Filed under: Bombyx mori (domestic silkworm)
Lineage: Eukaryota; Metazoa; Arthropoda; Insecta; Lepidoptera; Bombycidae
Description: ovarian small RNA-34541
Source: RNAcentral